RNAcentral lists this ribosomal RNA (253 nucleotides) under uncultured bacterium. Its description in RNAcentral is "partial 16S ribosomal RNA". It matches the Rfam family "Bacterial small subunit ribosomal RNA", at positions 524 to 776 of the family's 1533-position model. The record is from RNAcentral.
UACAGAGGUCCCAAGCGUUGUUCGGAUUCAUUGGGCGUAAAGCGCACGUAGGCGGCUUGGUAUGUCGGGUGUGAAAUCCCCGGGCUCAACCUGGGAACUGCAUCCGAAACUGCCUUGCUAGAGUAUGGGAGAGGGAAGUGGAAUUUCCGGUGUAGCGGUGAAAUGCGUAGAUAUCGGGAGGAACAUCAGUGGCGAAGGCGACUUCCUGGACCAAUACUGACGCUCAGGUGCGAAAGCGUGGGGAGCAAACAGG